AAGCACAUAUCAUUGACCUGCUUCCUUUGCACUGGUAAGUAGUGUUAUUUCUGGUGUGCUAAAGGGAGAUUGUGAAGGCUAAUUAGCAGCUUUGCUUCAUUUAGAAUUGCUGCCAGUCUCCUUCAUACAUGG
Molecule: small nucleolar RNA, 132 nt
Organism: Laticauda laticaudata (blue-ringed sea krait)
Lineage: Eukaryota; Metazoa; Chordata; Lepidosauria; Squamata; Elapidae
Source: Ensembl